GUUGUAAUGCUUAAUGGUUUCA
This 22-nucleotide non-coding RNA is filed under the name Arabidopsis thaliana (thale cress). The record is from RNAcentral. Lineage: Eukaryota; Viridiplantae; Streptophyta; Magnoliopsida; Brassicales; Brassicaceae.